Molecule: ribosomal RNA, 520 nt
Filed under: uncultured Glomeromycotina
Lineage: Eukaryota; Fungi; Glomeromycota
Description: SSU rRNA
Rfam family: Eukaryotic small subunit ribosomal RNA
Source: RNAcentral
CGCAGCCGCGGUAAUCCCAGCUCCAAUAGCGUAUAUUAAAGUUGUUGCAGUUAAAAAGCUCGUAGUUGAAUUUCGGGAUCAGUACGCUGGUCGUGCCUCCGGUAUGUACUGGUGUUACUGAUUCCUCCCUUCUGAAGAACCAUCAUGCCAUUCACUUGGUGUGGUGGGGAACCAGGACUGUUACUUUGAAAAAUUAGAGUGUUUAAAGCAGGCUCGCGCUUGAAUACAUUAGCAUGGAAUAAUGAAAUAGGACGUUUAUCCUAUUUUGUUGGUUUCUAGGAUUGACGUAAUGAUUAAUAGGGAUAGUUGGGGGCAUUAGUAUUCAAUUGUCAGAGGUGAAAUUCUUGGAUUUAUUGAAGACUAACUACUGCGAAAGCAUUUGCCAAGGAUGUUUUCAUUAAUCAAGAACGAAAGUUAGGGGAUCGAAGACGAUCAGAUACCGUCGUAGUCUUAACCAUAAACUAUGCCGACUAGGGAUCGGAUGAUGUUAAUUUUUAAUGACUCAUUCGGCGCCUUACGG